Molecule: long non-coding RNA, 1017 nt
Filed under: Polistes dominula (European paper wasp)
Lineage: Eukaryota; Metazoa; Arthropoda; Insecta; Hymenoptera; Vespidae
Description: uncharacterized LOC107074259, transcript variant X2
Source: RNAcentral
UUAACUUCAUUACGUAUUACGUCUACUGCUAAUGACAUAAAAAAAAUUAUGUUUAUACAUUAAACUUAAUUGAGAAAUAAAACAUGGUGAAAUACUGGACGAUGAUAAUAAAAUUGAUUCUACAGUGGUCUGGUUAAUCUCCAUUUGCAUAAAUUCUAUAAGUUUAGAAUUCAAAUAAGUAAGUCAUAUUAAUUGUAAUUAUUAUUUGAAAAUAUUUAAGCUACAUAUUUGAAUUAUUUAAUAUUGUACCUUGUUUGACGUUUAUAUACAAGUUUAUUUUGAAUGAUCCUGUACAAGAGAUCAGUGGUUUUGCAAGGUGUUAUGUAUAUGUGUGACUGUAUGUGUGAAUCGUACAGGAGUGUUUACUCGUAGUAGUUAACGAAGUUAUAUGAUGUUUAUACUCGUGUUUAUAAAACUGUCAGGUCUUACGAGAUAUCAGUGUGUAUAUACCGGGUGAAUUGAAAAGUACGAUGACCGUAACUUUAUCGAGUAAGCUAAAAUACUCGCGGUACCUGUGCAUAAGACAUUCACGGUUCACGAAAGUAUGAUGAGAUUGUUCUUUGAGUGAUAUGGAUGAGUUGGUAUUAAGAUGAAUGACAGCUAGAAAAAGUCUGAAUGUUACAAACUUGAAUGACCGUAAGAAAAAACUUUAUUUGCACGUGCAUCUAUUAAAAUAGUUUGAUGUAACAGCCACGAGGUUUGAAUUCAUUGAUAAAUGAGAUUGCUCGUUAUUGAUUUGUUUAUCGAUUUUUCAGAUUGAUUUUAACAUAAGUGAGGACAAGUAAGCACAAAGAUCAAUCAAGUGUGAACGGGAAUUUGAAACAAUAUUAUUAAAAUAUUUGUUGUUAAUGUACACUUCAUUUAUAAAUCAUUAUUUUUGUAAUAUUCUAUAGGAUACUUUUGUACACAUGCUAUAUGAUGUAUUCGCUUUGAAAGAAUGCUUAUGACUGAAGCAUUAAAAGCAAUACAAUGUUAUUUUAUGUUAGUGUUAGAUAAAGGGGUGUGGUUAUUAAUGAA